ACACUCCUGCGGGAGGCAGCAGUGGGGAAUAUUGCACAAUGGGCGCAAGCCUGAUGCAGCCAUGCCGCGUGUAUGAAGAAGGCCUUCGGGUUGUAAAGUACUUUCAGCGGGGAGGAAGGCGAUAAGGUUAAUAACCUUGUUGAUUGACGUUACCCGCAGAAGAAGCACCGGCUAACUCCGUGCCAGCAGCCGCGGUAAUACGGAGGGUGCAAGCGUUAAUCGGAAUUACUGGGCGUAAAGCGCACGCAGGCGGUCUGUCAAGUCGGAUGUGAAAUCCCCGGGCUCAACCUGGGAACUGCAUUCGAAACUGGCAGGCUAGAGUCUUGUAGAGGGGGGUAGAAUUCCAGGUGUAGUGGUGAAAUGCGUAGAGAUCUGGAGGAAUACCGGUGGCGAAGGCGGCCCCCUGGACAAAGACUGACGCUCAGGUGCGAAAGCGUGGGGAGCAAACAGGAUUAGAUACCCGUGUAGUCCCAUG
This 475-nucleotide ribosomal RNA is filed under the name uncultured organism. RNAcentral describes it as "partial 16S ribosomal RNA". It matches the Rfam family "Bacterial small subunit ribosomal RNA", at positions 333 to 799 of the family's 1533-position model. The record is from RNAcentral.